AGCAGCCGCGGUAAUUCCAGCUCCAAUAGCGUAUAUUAAAGUUGUUGCAGUUAAAAAGCUCGUAGUUGAAUUUCGGGAUUGACACAUCGGUCGUGCCUUAAGGGGUAUGAACUGGUGUAGUCAAUUUCUCACCUUCUGGAGAACCGCGAUGCCCUUAAUUGGGUGUCACGGGGAACCAGGACCUUUACUUUGAAAAAUUAGAGUGUUUAAAGCAGGCAUUUUGCUUGAAUACAUUAGCAUGGAAUAAUAAAAUAGGACGGCAUGAUUCUAUUUUGUUGGUUUCUAGGAUCACCGUAAUGAUUAAUAGGGAUAGUUGGGGGCAUUAGUAUUCAAUUGUCAGAGGUGAAAUUCUUGGAUUUAUUGAAGACUAACUACUGCGAAAGCAUUUGCCAAGGAUGUUUUCAUUAAUCAAGAACGAAAGUUAGGGGAUCGAAGACGAUCAGAUACCGUCGUAGUCUUAACCAUAAACUAU
This 472-nucleotide small RNA is filed under the name uncultured Entrophospora. Its description in RNAcentral is "SSU rRNA". It matches the Rfam family "Eukaryotic small subunit ribosomal RNA", at positions 569 to 1040 of the family's 1831-position model. Lineage: Eukaryota; Fungi; Glomeromycota; Glomeromycetes; Entrophosporales; Entrophosporaceae. The record is from RNAcentral.